RNAcentral lists this ribosomal RNA (756 nucleotides) under uncultured Methanotrichaceae archaeon. RNAcentral describes it as "bacterial SSU rRNA". It matches the Rfam family "Archaeal small subunit ribosomal RNA", at positions 102 to 859 of the family's 1478-position model. Lineage: Archaea; Methanobacteriati; Methanobacteriota; Methanomicrobia; Methanotrichales; Methanotrichaceae. RNAcentral also lists the same sequence under 2 other names. The record is from RNAcentral.
GGACAACCUGCCCUUAGGUUGGGUAUAAACCCGGGAAACUGGGUAUAAUCCCCUAUAAGUCUCGGCUGCUGGAAUGCACCGAGAUUAAAAGCUCCGGCGCCUAAGGAUGGGUCUGCGGCCUAUCAGGUAGUAGUGGGUGUAGCGUACCUACUAGCCUACGACGGGUACGGGUUGUGAGAGCAAGAGCCCGGAGAUGGAUUCUGAGACACGAAUCCAGGCCCUACGGGGUGCAGCAGGCGCGAAAACUUUACAAUGCUGGCAACAGCGAUAAGGGAACCUCGAGUGCCAGGUUACAAAUCUGGCUGUCGAGAUGCCUAAAAAGCAUUUCAUAGCAAGGGCCGGGCAAGACCGGUGCCAGCCGCCGCGGUAACACCGGCGGCUCGAGUGGUAACCGUUAUUAUUGGGUCUAAAGGGUCUGUAGCCGGCCGGAUAAGUCUCUUGAGAAAUCUGGCAGCUUAACUGUCAGGCUUUCAGGAGAUACUGUCUGGCUCGAGGCCGGGAGAGGUGAGAGGUACUUCAGGGGUAGGGGUGAAAUCUUGUAAUCCUUGAAGGACCACCAGUGGCGAAGGCGUCUCACCAGAACGGACCUGACGGCAAGGGACGAAAGCUAGGGGCACGAACCGGAUUAGAUACCCGGGUAGUCCUAGCCGUAAACGAUACUCGCUAGGUGUCGGCCACGGUGCGACCGUUGUCGGUGCCGUAGGGAAGCCGUGAAGCGAGCCACCUGGGAAGUACGGCCGCAAGGCUGAAACUUAA